UACGGAAGGCAGCAGUGGGGAAUAUUGGACAAUGGGCGAAAGCCUGAUCCAGCCAUGCCGCAUGAGUGAAGAAGGCCUUCGGGUUGUAAAGCUCUUUUAGUGAGAAAGAUAAUGACGGUACUCACAGAAGAAGUCCUGGCUAACUCCGUGCCAGCAGCCGCGGUAAUACGGAGAGGGCUAGCGUUAUUCGGAAUUAUUGGGCGUAAAGAGCGCGUAGGCUGAUUAGUAGUUAAAAGUGAAAUCCCAAAGCUUAACUUUGGAAUUGCUUUUUAAAACUGCUAGUCUAGAGAUUUGAAAGAGGAUAGAGGAAUUCCUAGUGUAGAGGUGAAAUUCGUAAAUAUUAGGAGGAACACCAGUGGCGAAGGCGUCUAUCUGGUUCAAAUCUGACGCUGAGGCGCGAAGGGCGUGGGGAGCAAACAGGGAUUAGAUACC
Molecule: ribosomal RNA, 432 nt
Filed under: uncultured bacterium
Lineage: Bacteria
Description: bacterial SSU rRNA
Rfam family: Bacterial small subunit ribosomal RNA
Source: RNAcentral